This 465-nucleotide ribosomal RNA is filed under the name Vreelandella stevensii. Its description in RNAcentral is "partial 16S ribosomal RNA". It matches the Rfam family "Bacterial small subunit ribosomal RNA", at positions 338 to 795 of the family's 1533-position model. Lineage: Bacteria; Pseudomonadati; Pseudomonadota; Gammaproteobacteria; Oceanospirillales; Halomonadaceae. The record is from RNAcentral.
CCUACGGGAGGCUGCAGUGGGGAAUAUUGGACAAUGGGGGGAACCCUGAUCCAGCCAUGCCGCGUGUGUGAAGAAGGCCCUCGGGUUGUAAAGCACUUUCAGUGAGGAAGAACGCCUGGUGGUUAAUACCCAUCAGGAAAGACAUCACUCACAGAAGAAGCACCGGCUAACUCCGUGCCAGCAGCCGCGGUAAUACGGAGGGUGCGAGCGUUAAUCGGAAUUACUGGGCGUAAAGCGCGCGUAGGUGGCUUGAUAAGCCGGUUGUGAAAGCCCCGGGCUCAACCUGGGAACGGCAUCCGGAACUGUCAAGCUAGAGUGCAGGAGAGGAAGGUAGAAUUCCCGGUGUAGCGGUGAAAUGCGUAGAGAUCUGGAGGAAUACCAGUGGCGAAGGCGGCCUUCUGGACUGACACUGACACUGAGGUGCGAAAGCGUGGGUAGCAAACAGGAUUAGAUACCCCGGUAGUC